Molecule: ribosomal RNA, 1372 nt
Filed under: uncultured bacterium
Lineage: Bacteria
Description: bacterial SSU rRNA
Rfam family: Bacterial small subunit ribosomal RNA
Source: RNAcentral
GAUGAACGCUGGCGGCGUGCCUAAUACAUGCAAGUCGAGCGAACGGACGAGAAGCUUGCUUCUCUGAUGUUAGCGGCGGACGGGUGAGUAACACGUGGAUAACCUACCUAUAAGACUGGGAUAACUUCGGGAAACCGGAGCUAGUACCGGAUAAUAUUUUGAACCGCAUGGUUCAAAAGUGAAAGACGGUCUUGCUGUCACUUAUAGAUGGAUCCGCGCUGCAUUAGCUAGUUGGUAAGGUAACGGCUUACCAAGGCAACGAUGCAUAGCCGACCUGAGAGGGUGAUCGGCCACACUGGAACUGAGACACGGUCCAGACUCCUACGGGAGGCGGCAGUAGGGAAUCUUCCGCAAUGGGCGAAAGCCUGACGGAGCAACGCCGCGUGAGUGAUGAAGGUCUUCGGAUCGUAAAACUCUGUUAUUAGGGAAGAACAUAUGUGUAAGUAACUGUGCACAUCUUGACGGUACCUAAUCAGAAAGCCACGGCUAACUACGUGCCAGCAGCCGCGGUAAUACGUGGGUGGCAAGCGUUAUCCGGAAUUAUUGGGCGUAAAGCGCGCGUAGGCGGUUUUUUAAGUCUGAUGUGAAAGCCCACGGCUCAACCGUGGAGGGUCAUUGGAAACUGGAAAACUUGAGUGCAGAAGAGGAAAGUGGAAUUCCAUGUGUAGCGGUGAAAUGCGCAGAGAUAUGGAGGAACACCAGUGGCGAAGGCGACUUUCUGGUCUGUAACUGACGCUGAUGUGCGAAAGCGUGGGGAUCAAACAGGAUUAGAUACCCUGGUAGUCCACGCCGUAAACGAUGAGUGCUAAGUGUUAGGGGGUUUCCGCCCCUUAGUGCUGCAGCUAACGCAUUAAGCACUCCGCCUGGGGAGUACGACCGCAAGGUUGAAACUCAAAGGAAUUGACGGGGACCCGCACAAGCGGUGGAGCAUGUGGUUUAAUUCGAAGCAACGCGAAGAACCUUACCAAAUCUUGACAUCCUCUGACCCCUCUAGAGAUAGAGUUUUCCCCUUCGGGGGACAGAGUGACAGGUGGUGCAUGGUUGUCGUCAGCUCGUGUCGUGAGAUGUUGGGUUAAGUCCCGCAACGAGCGCAACCCUUAAGCUUAGUUGCCAUCAUUAAGUUGGGCACUCUAAGUUGACUGCCGGUGACAAACCGGAGGAAGGUGGGGAUGACGUCAAAUCAUCAUGCCCCUUAUGAUUUGGGCUACACACGUGCUACAAUGGACAAUACAAAGGGCAGCGAAACUGCGAGGUCAAGCAAAUCCCAUAAAGUUGUUCUCAGUCCGGAUUGUAGUCUGCAACUCGACUAUAUGAAGCUGGAAUCGCUAGUAAUCGUAGAUCAGCAUGCUACGGUGAAUACGUUCCCGGGUCU